RNAcentral lists this ribosomal RNA (373 nucleotides) under uncultured organism. Its description in RNAcentral is "partial 16S ribosomal RNA". It matches the Rfam family "Bacterial small subunit ribosomal RNA", at positions 527 to 896 of the family's 1533-position model. The record is from RNAcentral.
GUAGGUGGCAAGCGUUGUCCGGAAUUAUUGGGCGUAAAGCGCGCGCAGGCGGUCCUUUAAGUCUGAUGUGAAAGCCCACGGCUCAACCGUGGAGGGUCAUUGGAAACUGGGGGACUUGAGUACAGAAGAGGAAAGCGGAAUUCCACGUGUAGCGGUGAAAUGCGUAGAGAUGUGGAGGAACACCAGUGGCGAAGGCGGCUUUCUGGUCUGUAACUGACGCUGAGGCGCGAAAGCGUGGGGAGCAAACAGGGAUUAGAUACCCUGGUAGUCCACGCCGUAAACGAUGAGUGCUAAGUGUUAGGGGGUUUCCCGCCCCUUAGUGCUGCAGCUAACGCAUUGAGCACUCCGCCUGGGGAGUACGGCCGCAAGGCUG